This 492-nucleotide ribosomal RNA is filed under the name uncultured bacterium. RNAcentral describes it as "partial 16S ribosomal RNA". It matches the Rfam family "Bacterial small subunit ribosomal RNA", at positions 29 to 507 of the family's 1533-position model. The record is from RNAcentral.
AGUGAACGCUGGCGGUAGGCCUAACACAUGCCAGUCGAACGGCAGCACAGUAAGAGCUUGCUCUUACGGGUGGCGAGUGGCGGACGGGUGAGGAAUACAUCGGAAUCUACUUUUUCGUGGGGGAUAACGUAGGGAAACUUACGCUAAUGCCGCAUACGACCUACGGGUGAAAGCAGGGGAUCUUCGGACCUUGCGCGAUUGAAUGAGCCGAUGUCGGAUUAGCUAGUUGGCGGGGUAAAGGCCCACCAAGGCGACGAUCCGUAGCUGGUCUGAGAGGAUGAUCGGCCACACUGGAACUGAGACACGGUCCAGACUCCUACGGGAGGCAGCAGUGGGGAAUAUUGGACAAUGGGCGCAAGCCUGAUCCAGCCAUACCGCGUGGGUGAAGAAGGCCUUCGGGUUGUAAAGCCCUUUUGUUGGGAAAGAAAAGCAGCAGGUUAAUACCCCGCUGUUCUGACGGUACCCAAAGAAUAAGCACCGGCUAACUUCGUG